RNAcentral lists this long non-coding RNA (876 nucleotides) under Brassica napus (rape). RNAcentral describes it as "long non-coding RNA (BNAP_LNC008010)". Lineage: Eukaryota; Viridiplantae; Streptophyta; Magnoliopsida; Brassicales; Brassicaceae. The record is from RNAcentral.
UCAUUUCAUUUCAGGAUAGCCCAAUAGGCAAUACAUAUAGAUCAGUAAAAAACCCAACUAGAGAAUUUUAAUAAAAUACAGCCCACAUAGAAAAGUGAUUUGUGAUGCAUGUCUAUCCAUGCGUAGCCUUCACCAGCUCUCUGAAACACGCGUUCUUUAGUCAUGAAGCGGCAAUCUUGGCUGUCUCUAACUUCGUCGGCAGGAACCGCCGGGAUGACUCUGAAGUCGUGUCUCCAUCUUUGUCUUCUCAGCUUAGAGGGUUUGUACCAAUCGAUGCUCUUUUCACCAAGGAUCGAACUAACUAGCUGAACUUAUCAAACCAACGGAAACAAUCUGAUUCUGAAAAAGUUCUUGUUCAACUGGAGAAUGAUUUUUGUCGGACCGCCAUGAACGCCGACUCUACUAAUCAUACCCCAAACUAACAGAUACUUUCAAUCCUCCAUACCUCUUCCAAUCAGAGAAACUUUACUUCAAUUUAGUAUAUAUUAGAAGUAAAGAUUGAUGCUCUUAGGAAGGUCUCUGGACAAACUAAUGACCUGAGAGUUCGAACACCAGUAAGCCGUAAUUGAGCACAUGUGGAAGAGCUUGAUACAGCUUCGAUUUCAAAUCGGAAACUUUAUCGCCCAUAACAAACCUGAGUAAAAAAGAUAAGAACUUUAAUAUUUGCCCAGAUUUGAAUGAGAAAGCACAACAAAACUCACCAACACGAAGAAGAAAUCGCCAAGCGAAGAAAAAAUCCUACAGGCAGAAACAAAAUCGAUCCAACGGAUCGAAUAUUUACAAGACAAAACAGAAUCGAACCCUCCUUUGUGAAAGAUAUGGGUUUGGUAACAAGGAAGGUUCGAGAGAAAAAUUCUCUCUCGAAUCGAACUGUUC